Molecule: ribosomal RNA, 981 nt
Filed under: uncultured bacterium
Lineage: Bacteria
Description: bacterial SSU rRNA
Rfam family: Bacterial small subunit ribosomal RNA
Source: RNAcentral
GAUGAACGCUAGCGGCAGGCUUAACACAUGCAAGUCGAGGGGUAGGAGAAGCUUGCUUUUCUGAGACCGGCGCACGGGUGCGUAACGCGUAUGCAAUCUACCUUUCACAGAGGGAUAGCCCAGAGAAAUUUGGAUUAAUACCUCAUAGUAUAAUUGAAUGGCAUCAUUUAAUUAUUAAAGAUUUAUCGGUGAAAGAUGAGCAUGCGUCCCAUUAGCUAGGUGGUAUGGUAACGGCAUACCAAGGCAACGAUGGGUAGGGGUCCUGAGAGGGAGAUCCCCCACACUGGUACUGAGACACGGACCAGACUCCUACGGGAGGCAGCAGUGAGGAAUAUUGGACAAUGGGCGCAAGCCUGAUCCAGCCAUGCCGCGUGCAGGAUGACGGUCCUAUGGAUUGUAAACUGCUUUUAUACAGGAAGAAACACUCCCUCGUGAGGGAGCUUGACGGUACUGUAAGAAUAAGGAUCGGCUAACCCCGUGCCAGCAGCCGCGGUAAUACGGAGGAUCCAAGCGUUAUCCGGAAUCAUUGGGUUUAAAGGGUCCGUAGGCGGUCAGGUAAGUCAGUGGUGAAAGCCCAUCGCUCAACGGUGGAACGGCCAUUGAUACUGUCUGACUUGAAUUAUUAGGAAGUAACUAGAAUAUGUAGUGUAGCGGUGAAAUGCUUAGAGAUUACAUGGAAUACCAAUUGCGAAGGCAGGUUACUACUAAUUGAUUGACGCUGAUGGACGAAAGCGUGGGUAGCGAACAGGAUUAGAUACCCUGGUAGUCCACGCCGUAAACGAUGGAUACUAGCUGUUGGGAGCAAUCUCAGUGGCUAAGCGAAAGUGAUAAGUAUCCCACCUGGGGAGUACGAACGCAAGUUUGAAACUCAAAGGAAUUGACGGGGGCCCGCACAAGCAGUGGAGCAUGUGGUUUAAUUCGAUGAUACGCGAGGAACCUUACCAAGGCUUAAAUGUAGAUUGACCGUUUGGAAACAGAACU